GGAAUAUUGGUCAAUGGACGCAAGUCUGAACCAGCCAUGCCGCGUGGAGGAUGAAGGUCCUCUGGAUUGUAAACUUCUUUUAUCUGGGAAGAAAUCCAUUUUUUCUAAAGUGGUUGACGGUACCAGAUGAAUAAGCAACGGCUAACUCCGUGCCAGCAGCCGCGGUAAUACGGAGGGUGCAAGCGUUAUCCGGAUUUAAUGGGUUUAAAGGGUGCGUAGGCGGAUAGGUAAGUCAGUUGUGAAAUCCCCGAGCUCAACUUGGGAACUGCCGUUGAUACUAUUUAUCUUGAAUAUCGUGGAGGUGAGUGGAAUAUGUCAUGUAGCGGUGAAAUGCUUAGAUAUGACAUAGAACACCGAUUGCGAAGGCAGCUCACUACGCGAUCAUUGACGCUGAGGCACGAAAGCGUGGGGAUCAAAC
Molecule: ribosomal RNA, 418 nt
Filed under: uncultured bacterium
Lineage: Bacteria
Description: bacterial SSU rRNA
Rfam family: Bacterial small subunit ribosomal RNA
Source: RNAcentral